Molecule: ribosomal RNA, 397 nt
Filed under: uncultured bacterium
Lineage: Bacteria
Description: bacterial SSU rRNA
Rfam family: Bacterial small subunit ribosomal RNA
Source: RNAcentral
GGAAUUUGCGCAAUGGGCGAAAGCCUGACGCAGCAACGCCGCGUGAGGGAUGAAGGCCUUCGGGUUGUAAACCUCUUUUCUCAGGGAAGAUUAUGACGGUACCUGAGGAAUAAGCCCCGGCUACCUACGUGCCAGCAGCCGCGGUAAUACGUAGGUUGCAAGCGUUGUCCGGAUUUACUGGGCGUAAAGAGCGCGCAGGCGGUCGGUCAAGUCGAGUGUGAAAGCCCCCGGCUCAACUGGGGAGGGUCAUUCGAUACUGAUCGACUCGAAGGCAGGAGAGGGAAGUGGAAUUCCCGGUGUAGUGGUGAAAUGCGUAGAUAUCGGGAGGAACACCAGUGGCGAAGGCGACUUCCUGGCCUGUUCUUGACGCUGAGGCGCGAAAGCUAGGGGAGCAAAC